GACGAACGCUGGCGGCGUGCUUAACACAUGCAAGUCGAACGGCAAGGCCCUGCUUUUGUGGUCUUCUCGAGUGGCGAACGGGUGAGUAACACGUGAGUAACCUGCCCUUGACUUUGGGAUAACUUCAGGAAACUGGGGCUACUCCCGUAUAGGAGCUCCUGCUCGGUUGUGGGGGUUGGAAAGUUUCGGCGGUUGGGGAUGGACUCGCGGCUUACGAGCUUGUUGGUGGGGUAGUGGCUUACCAAGGCUUUGAAGGGUAGCCGGCCUGAGAGGGUGAACGGGCACCUUGGGACUGAGAUACGGACCAGACUCCUACGGGAGGCAGCAGGGGGGAGUAUUACACAAUGGGCGGAAGCCUGAUGCAGCAACGCCGCGUGCGGGAUGACGGCCUUCGGGUUGUAAACCGCUUUCGCCUGUGACGAAGCGUGAGUGACGGUAAUGGGUAAAGAAGCACCGGCUAACUACGUG
RNAcentral lists this ribosomal RNA (468 nucleotides) under uncultured bacterium. RNAcentral's name for it is "partial 16S ribosomal RNA". It matches the Rfam family "Bacterial small subunit ribosomal RNA", at positions 28 to 507 of the family's 1533-position model. The record is from RNAcentral.